This 492-nucleotide ribosomal RNA is filed under the name uncultured bacterium. Its description in RNAcentral is "partial 16S ribosomal RNA". It matches the Rfam family "Bacterial small subunit ribosomal RNA", at positions 29 to 507 of the family's 1533-position model. The record is from RNAcentral.
AGUGAACGCUGGCGGUAGGCCUAACACAUGCAAGUCGAACGGCAGCACAGUAAGAGCUUGCUCUUACGGGUGGCGAGUGGCGGACGGGUGAGGAAUACAUCGGAAUCUACUUUUUCGUGGGGGCUAACGUAGGGACACUUACGCUAAUACCGCAUACGACCUACGGGUGAAAGCAGGGGAUCUUCGGACCUCGCGCGAUUGAAUGAGCCGAUGUCGGAUUAGCUAGUUGGCGGGGUAAAGGCCCACCAAGGCGACGAUCCGUAGCUGGUCUGAGAGGAUGAUCAGCCACACUGGAACUGAGACACGGUCCAGACUCCUACGGGAGGCAGCAGUGGGGAAUAUUGGACAAUGGGCGCAAGCCUGAUCCAGCCAUACCGCGUGGGUGAAGAAGGCCUUCGGGUUGUAAAGCCCUUUUGUUGGGAAAGAAAAGCAGCAGGUUAAUACCCCGCUGUUCUGACGGUACCAAAAGAAUAAGCACCGGCUAACUUCGUG